Molecule: non-coding RNA, 83 nt
Filed under: uncultured Ruminiclostridium sp.
Lineage: Bacteria; Bacillati; Bacillota; Clostridia; Eubacteriales; Oscillospiraceae
Description: NiCo riboswitch
Rfam family: NiCo (Nickel/Cobalt) riboswitch aptamer
Source: RNAcentral
ACAGUACAAACUGAGCAGACCGUGACAGCCGUCAUGGAGUCGGGUCACAAAGUGACAGUGGGACGCAACAUCCACGGGACAGU